Molecule: ribosomal RNA, 461 nt
Filed under: uncultured bacterium
Lineage: Bacteria
Description: partial 16S ribosomal RNA
Rfam family: Bacterial small subunit ribosomal RNA
Source: RNAcentral
GACGAACGCUGGCGGCGUGCUUAACACAUGCAAGUCGAACGGUGAAGCCCUUCGGGGUGGAUCAGUGGCGAACGGGUGAGUAACACGUGAGCAACCUGCCCCUGGCUCUGGGACAACCACUGGAAACGGUGGCUAAUACCGGAUACGACCCGCCUCGGCAUCGAGUGUGGGUGGAAAGUUUUUCGGCUGGGGAUGGGCUCGCGGCCUAUCAGCUUGUUGGUGAGGUGUAGGCUCACCAAGGCGACGACGGGUAGCCGGCCUGAGAGGGCGACCGGCCACACUGGGACUGAGACACGGCCCAGACUCCUACGGGAGGCAGCAGUGGGGAAUAUUGCACAAUGGGCGAAAGCCGGAUGCAGCGACGCCGCGUGAGGGAUGACGGCCUUCGGGUUGUAAACCUCUUUCAGCUCCGAAGAAGCGAAAGUGACGGUAGGAGCAGAAGAAGCACCGGCUAACUACGU